Molecule: ribosomal RNA, 450 nt
Filed under: uncultured bacterium
Lineage: Bacteria
Description: partial 16S ribosomal RNA
Rfam family: Bacterial small subunit ribosomal RNA
Source: RNAcentral
GUGGGGAAUUUUGGACAAUGGGCGCAAGCCUGAUCCAGCAAUGCCGCGUGCAGGAAGAAGGCCUUCGGGUUGUAAACUGCUUUUGUACGGAACGAAACGGCUCUGGUUAAUACCCGGGGCUAAUGACGGUACCGUAAGAAUAAGCACCGGCUAACUACGUGCCAGCAGCCGCGGUAAUACGUAGGGUGCAAGCGUUAAUCGGAAUUACUGGGCGUAAAGCGUGCGCAGGCGGUUUUGUAAGACAGGCGUGAAAUCCCCGGGCUCAACCUGGGAAUUGCGCUUGUGACUGCAGUGCUGGAGUACGGCAGAGGGGGAUGGAAUUCUGCGUGUAGCAGUGAAAUGCGUAGAUAUGCGGAGGAACACCGAUGGCGAAGGCAGUCCCCUGGGCCUGUACUGACGCUCAUGCACGAAAGCGUGGGGAGCAAACAGGAUUAGAAACCCCAGUAGUCC